UAGCGACAGGCUUAACACAUGCAAGUCGAGGGGCAGCACAGGUAGCAAUACCGGGUGGCGACCGGCGCACGGGUGAGUAACGCGUAUGCAACUUACCUAUCAGAGGGGGAUAACCCGGCGAAAGUCGGACUAAUACCGCAUGAAGCAGGGGCCCCGCAUGGGGAUAUUUGCUAAAGAUUCAUCGCUGAUAGAUAGGCAUGCGUUCCAUUAGGCAGUUGGCGGGGUAACGGCCCACCAAACCGACGAUGGAUAGGGGUUCUGAGAGGAAGGUCCCCCACAUUGGUACUGAGACACGGACCAAACUCCUACGGGAGGCAGCAGUGAGGAAUAUUGGUCAAUGGCCGAGAGGCUGAACCAGCCAAGUCGCGUGAGGGAUGAAGGUUCUAUGGAUCGUAAACCUCUUUUAUAAGGGAAUAAAGUGCGGGACGUGUCCCGUUUUGUAUGUACCUUAUGAAUAAGGAUCGGCUAACUCCGUGCCAGCAGCCGCGGUAAUACGGAGGAUCCGAGCGUUAUCCGGAUUUAUUGGGUUUAAAGGGUGCGUAGGCGGCCUUUUAAGUCAGCGGUGAAAGUCUGUGGCUCAACCAUAGAAUUGCCGUUGAAACUGGGGGGCUUGAGUAUGUUUGAGGCAGGCGGAAUGCGUGGUGUAGCGGUGAAAUGCAUAGAUAUCACGCAGAACCCCGAUUGCGAAGGCAGCCUGCCAAGCCAUGACUGACGCUGAUGCACGAAAGCGUGGGGAUCAAACAGGAUUAGAUACCCUGGUAGUCCACGCAGUAAACGAUGAUCACUAGCUGUUUGCGAUACACUGUAAGCGGCACAGCGAAAGCGUUAAGUGAUCCACCUGGGGAGUACGCCGGCAACGGUGAAACUCAAAGGAAUUGACGGGGGCCCGCACAAGCGGAGGAACAUGUGGUUUAAUUCGAUGAUACGCGAGGAACCUUACCCGGGUUUGAACGCAUUCGGACCGAGGUGGAAACACCUUUUCUAGCAAUAGCCGUUUGCGAGGUGCUGCAUGGUUGUCGUCAGCUCGUGCCGUGAGGUGUCGGCUUAAGUGCCAUAACGAGCGCAACCCUUGCCACUAGUUACUAACAGGUAAAGCUGAGGACUCUGGUGGGACUGCCAGCGUAAGCUGCGAGGAAGGCGGGGAUGACGUCAAAUCAGCACGGCCCUUACAUCCGGGGCGACACACGUGUUACAAUGGCGUGGACAAAGGGAGGCCACCUGGUGACAGGGAGCGAAUCCCCAAACCACGUCUCAGUUCGGAUCGGAGUCUGCAACCCGACUCCGUGAAGCUGGAUUCGCUAGUAAUCGCGCAUCAGCCAUGGCGCGGUGAAUACGUUCCCGGGCCUUGUACACACCGCCCGUCAAGCCAUGGGAGCCGGGGGUACCUGAAGUCCGUAACCGAAAGGAUCGGCCUAGGGUAAAACUGGUGACUGGGGCUAAGUCGUAACAAGG
Molecule: ribosomal RNA, 1452 nt
Filed under: uncultured bacterium
Lineage: Bacteria
Description: bacterial SSU rRNA
Rfam family: Bacterial small subunit ribosomal RNA
Source: RNAcentral